CAACCCUAUGCGGUGGAUCACUUGGCUCGCGAGUCGAUGAAGAGCGCAGCAAACUGCGUGAAUUAAUGUGAUUUGCAGGACACAUUGAUCAUCGAUAUCUUGAACGCAUAUUGCGGUUAUGGAUCGCUUCCAUGACCACGCCUGUCUGAGGGUCGGUAUUAAUAU
This 165-nucleotide ribosomal RNA is filed under the name Brachionus calyciflorus. Its description in RNAcentral is "5.8S ribosomal RNA". It matches the Rfam family "5.8S ribosomal RNA". From Rfam's summary of the family: 5.8S ribosomal RNA (5.8S rRNA) is a component of the large subunit of the eukaryotic ribosome. It is transcribed by RNA polymerase I as part of the 45S precursor that also contains 18S and 28S rRNA. Functionally, it is thought that 5.8S rRNA may be involved in ribosome translocation. The record is from RNAcentral. Lineage: Eukaryota; Metazoa; Rotifera; Eurotatoria; Ploima; Brachionidae.